GAUGAACGCUGGCGGCGUGCCUAAUACAUGCAAGUCGAGCGAACGGACGAGAAGCUUGCUUCUCUGAUGUUAGCGGCGGACGGGUGAGUAACACGUGGAUAACCUACCUAUAAGACUGGGAUAACUUCGGGAAACCGGAGCUAAUACCGGAUAAUAUUUUGAACCGCAUGGUUCAAAAGUGAAAGACGGUCUUGCUGUCACUUAUAGAUGUAUCCGCGCUGCAUUAGCUAGUUGGUAAGGUAACGGCUUACCAAGGCAACGAUGCAUAGCCGACCUGAGAGGGUGAUCGGCCACACUGGAACUGAGACACGGUCCAGACUCCUACGGGAGGCAGCAGUAGGGAAUAUUCCGCAAUGGGCGAAAGCCUGACGGAGCAACGCCGCGUGAGUGAUGAAGGUCUUCGGAUCGUAAAACUCUGUUAUUAGGGAAGAACAUAUGUGUAAGUAACUGUGCACAUCUUGACGGUACCAAAACAGAAAGCCACGGCUAACUACGUG
This 497-nucleotide ribosomal RNA is filed under the name uncultured bacterium. RNAcentral's name for it is "partial 16S ribosomal RNA". It matches the Rfam family "Bacterial small subunit ribosomal RNA", at positions 28 to 507 of the family's 1533-position model. The record is from RNAcentral.